This is a long non-coding RNA of Telopea speciosissima, 120 nucleotides long. RefSeq lists it as uncharacterized. The record is from RefSeq and is a predicted model, not a curated record. The transcript has 4 exons. Lineage: Eukaryota; Viridiplantae; Streptophyta; Magnoliopsida; Proteales; Proteaceae.
AACAUGAAAUACUCCAUCACAUCCUGCAAUGGCUAAAAAAAGGGAGCUGUAGUCCAGCAAAUCUGCCUUGAAGAGCUGCAGGUUCUCCAAGGCAUUAUCCAGUUUCUUCAAAUGAGCGUU